UCGAACGGUAACAGGAAGCAGCUUGCUGCUUUGCUGACGAGUGGCGGACGGGUGAGUAAUGUCUGGGAAACUGCCUGAUGGAGGGGGAUAACUACUGGAAACGGUAGCUAAUACCGCAUAACGUCGCAAGACCAAAGAGGGGGACCUUCGGGCCUCUUGCCAUCGGAUGUGCCCAGAUGGGAUUAGCUAGUAGGUGGGGUAACGGCUCACCUAGGCGACGAUCCCUAGCUGGUCUGAGAGGAUGACCAGCCACACUGGAACUGAGACACGGUCCAGACUCCUACGGGAGGCAGCAGUGGGGAAUAUUGCACAAUGGGCGCAAGCCUGAUGCAGCCAUGCCGCGUGUAUGAAGAAGGCCUUCGGGUUGUAAAGUACUUUCAGCGGGGAGGAAGGCGUUGAGGUUAAUAACCUUGUCGAUUGACGUUACCCGCAGAAGAAGCACCGGCUAACUCCGUGCC
RNAcentral lists this ribosomal RNA (458 nucleotides) under Enterobacter sp. Its description in RNAcentral is "bacterial SSU rRNA". It matches the Rfam family "Bacterial small subunit ribosomal RNA", at positions 62 to 509 of the family's 1533-position model. The record is from RNAcentral. Lineage: Bacteria; Pseudomonadati; Pseudomonadota; Gammaproteobacteria; Enterobacterales; Enterobacteriaceae.